AUUUGCUGACGAGUGGCGGACGGGUGAGUAAUGCUUGGGAACUUGCCUUUGGGAGGGGGAUAACAGUUGGAAACGACUGCUAAUACCGCAUAACGUCUACGGACCAAAGGGGGCUUCGGCUCCUACCUGAAGAGAGGCCCAAGUGAGAUUAGCUAGUUGGUGAGGUAAAGGCUCACCAAGGCGACGAUCUCUAGCUGUUCUGAGAGGAAGAUCAGCCACACUGGGACUGAGACACGGCCCAGACUCCUACGGGAGGCAGCAGUGGGGAAUAUUGCACAAUGGGGGAAACCCUGAUGCAGCCAUGCCGCGUGUGUGAAGAAGGCCUUCGGGUUGUAAAGCACUUUCAGUUGUGAGGAAAGGUUGGUAAUUAAUACCUGCCAGCUGUGACGUUAACAACAGAAGAAGCACCGGCUAACUCCGUGCCAGCAGCCGCGGUAAUACGGAGGGUGCGAGCGUUAAUCGGAAUUACUGGGCGUAAAGCGGACGCAGGCGGUUUGUUAAGCUAGAUGUGAAAGCCCCGGGCUCAACCUGGGAUGGUCAUUUAGAACUGGCAGACUAAAGUCUUGGAGAGGGGAGUGGAAUUCCAGGUGUAGCGGUGAAA
This 601-nucleotide ribosomal RNA is filed under the name Marisediminitalea oceani. RNAcentral describes it as "bacterial SSU rRNA". It matches the Rfam family "Bacterial small subunit ribosomal RNA", at positions 83 to 686 of the family's 1533-position model. The record is from RNAcentral. Lineage: Bacteria; Pseudomonadati; Pseudomonadota; Gammaproteobacteria; Alteromonadales; Alteromonadaceae.